This 301-nucleotide ribosomal RNA is filed under the name uncultured bacterium. RNAcentral describes it as "partial 16S ribosomal RNA". It matches the Rfam family "Bacterial small subunit ribosomal RNA", at positions 509 to 807 of the family's 1533-position model. The record is from RNAcentral.
CAGCCGCCACGGUAAUACGAAGGGGGCUAGCGUUGUUCGGAUUUACUGGGCGUAAAGGGUGCGUAGGCGGAUUGUUAAGUCAGGGGUGAAAUCCCGAGGCUCAACCUCGGAACUGCCUUUGAUACUGGCGAUCUUGAGUCCGGGAGAGGUGAGUGGAACUGCGAGUGUAGAGGUGAAAUUCGUAGAUAUUCGCAAGAACACCGGUGGCGAAGGCGGCUCACUGGCCCGGUACUGACGCUGAGGCACGAAAGCGUGGGGAGCAAACAGGAUUAGAUACCCGAGUAGUCCCUGUCUCUUAUAC